UAAGGUUAAAAAGGAACACCAAAAUGACCAAAAGCAAAUAAUAACAAAUUGAAAAAAGAUGUAAUAGAGUUAAAAGUGUAUGAAAUAGAAGCCUAAACGGCUGAUUGACUAGCUGUUAGCCGGUUCUUAUUACGUCUUAUGCUUUUCAUGCUGUCCCAACCCAUUUAUGCUUUUUCUGCUCUUUUGUUGCCAAAUCAAUUUAUCUAUUUAUCUAUUUAUUUAUUAUAAUAACUGUGAUAUGUUAAAUUGUUGUAUAUUUAUUCGACCAUUGUGUUUGGUUUUCACAAAAGACUCUUGUAAAGUUCAGUUAUUUCACUCUUUUUAAUCUGGUUCAAGAAAAAUGUUGAAAUUCAUUGUGUAAGCCUUUUUUACAUUGCCAUUUGCCUAUCAACGGAAAGCAUAUUCAUUUGACCAUCUGAUUAUAACCUUUUCAUUAUUAUUAUCAUUCCAACGUCCUGUUGAUGAGUAAAUCUCAGUAGUUUCAUCGUUUUACCCUAAACUUGAAGCUAUUUCCUAUCCUGGUCAAUAAUAAUCACCAAUUGGAUCAUCUGAAUGUGUAUACAAAUCUAACAUGAAAACAAUUCCAUGAUAUCUUUUCCCUUUAUCUUGUUAACAUGGGUAAAAAUGGAUCAACAUGGUGAUGCUACAAUUGAAGGAUUAUCCUUUUAGGAUGUAAGGAAAAGGCUAAAGAUGUAGCCAACAGAAACAGGCUGAGGACAAGAAAAGCAAGAUAAAAGGCGACAAAAUUGAUAAAAUAUAAUGGUUUUAUAAUGGCAACUACCAGCAACCGGGAACCUCAAUAAUACUUACCACAUAAGCCAAAAUAUUUGACAGAAAUGAGCUUUUUUUGAAGGCAAGAAAUCUUUUUGAGCUGACAAAGAUUCUCAUAAUCUCUGCCAUCAAUUCCGCAAACAGGCUCAUUGGUUAGAGCAAGAGAUUCACUUUGUGAAUGAGGAUAUUUUUCAUGUAACCAUGUAACUACAUCAGGAUAAUCAAGACAUUUCUCUGGACAUCGGCACUCACUUCCAAGUCCACCUUUCAAUUGUAUACAAUGGGCACCAAAUUUACAAUCAGAUUCAACGCAUUUACUAUGAAUUUCAUCUACAACAAGAAAGAAAGUAAAGAUUAACCAAGUGAAAUAUCAAUAAUCAAAUUAAGCAAAUUCAACAGCCACAUCGCUGGUUGAAAUAUAUACACAAUUUGGCUCAACACAAUCAACCCCAUUAAUUCAAGAGGAAACGUCAAAAUUUGCUUUACAAUACAAAGAUGAUCAUAACUUGAUUACUAUUGAACUUUCAACUCCUUGGUUUCGUUUUUAUCUAAAUUAAUCUUAUGAUUGAUGAUUACCUUUACAACGAUUUACUUUCACCAUAAUCAUCAUCAUCAUCAUCAUACCCAUUCUU
Molecule: long non-coding RNA, 1403 nt
Organism: Tetranychus urticae (two-spotted spider mite)
Lineage: Eukaryota; Metazoa; Arthropoda; Arachnida; Trombidiformes; Tetranychidae
Source: RefSeq, a predicted model, not a curated record